This 253-nucleotide ribosomal RNA is filed under the name uncultured bacterium. RNAcentral describes it as "partial 16S ribosomal RNA". It matches the Rfam family "Bacterial small subunit ribosomal RNA", at positions 524 to 776 of the family's 1533-position model. The record is from RNAcentral.
UACAGAGGGUGCAAGCGUUAAUCGGAAUGACUGGGCGUAAAGGGCGCGUAGGCGGGUUUGUAAGUUAGUUGUAAAAUCCCUGGGCUUAACCUAGGAAGGCCAACUAAUACUGCGAGCCUAGAGUAUAGGAGAGGGGAGCGGAAUUUCCGGUGUAGCGGUGAAAUGCGUAGAUAUCGGAAGGAACACCUGUGGCGAAGGCGGCUCUCUGGCCUACUACUGACGCUGAGGCGCGAAAGCGUGGGGAGCAAACAGG